Molecule: long non-coding RNA, 1090 nt
Organism: Peromyscus californicus insignis
Lineage: Eukaryota; Metazoa; Chordata; Mammalia; Rodentia; Cricetidae
Exons: 3
Source: RefSeq, a predicted model, not a curated record
UAUCUGUCUUGCGGGCUAGGCAGCACACGGGAGCUUUGGCACAGCCUCUCUUCACAUUGUGAAACUCCAAGCAAGUUGUUCCACCUUACUGAACCCGGCAGACAGCAGGGAGUCCCUACUCUCAGGGAUCCUGGGAGGAAUGGCCAAUAAACAUGAAGGAGGAAGCUUCUUUUAUGAUGGCUAGACAAGGCAUGGGGAUAUUGGAAGAAGAGAAGUGGCUGGGUUCAACUCACAGGUUGAAAGCCUCUCUGCUCUGUGAAAAAAGGUGCUCUGGAAUCACAGAUGCUUAGGAGGCUGUUGCAAUAAUCACAGCAAUCCAAGACGAGAGCAGUGGAAGAGCAGAAACAGGCCAGAGUCUGCAAACAGAGAACAUGCUUUUUACCAGAAAUGCUAAUGGGGUUUGCUGAUAAAUUGGCUAGAUUCGCUAUGGAGCUCAAAAUAUGACUGGCUGUAAAGACUACAGAAAAAUUCCUUUGUUUGGGAGAGGAGCUUAAUGCCCUUUGCAGAUCCAGGACACCCAUCCAGACAGCCUUUGUGGAGAAAGCAGACAGGCAUGUACUGGAUCUCUUCAGGGUUCUGAUGCCCUACUCCAGUGACACCCACAGCUGGAUAUACAUUGUUUUACAGUCAUAAGAUUUGAGGAUAAGAAUAGUAACCACAACAAAAUAAAAUAGUGAUAUGGGUCUGUGUAACUUCACAGGUGUGAAAAGAGUCUGAACAGAAAAGACUUGUUCACCGGACUGAAGGCUGCUCCAGCUCCAUAACAGCCAAUACUUGAGACUUCUUAGUGCAGAGCAUCCAGGCUAUCUGCUCCACUCCACACCUGGGGACUGCAGUGCAUUUAGAGACAAGGGUUUGCUCAGAGUCAUUCCCAGACUCUAUUUAUUUAGAAUGAUUUCAGCUGGUAGUAAUUUGUGAUGGAAGGAGUCUGGGAGUCAGAGGGAUUGCAUUUCUAGCUUGAUGCUGACGUGAAUGGGUUGCCUGGGGAAGGACUUAACCUCUGCAUCCUGCUCUCUUAACUGGCUAGACCACUGCAUAUUUUCAGAAGACUGUGUGAAAAUUAACUGAGUAAUUUGUGUAACUCCAUAUA